AUUGAACGCUGGCGGAAUGCUUUACACAUGCAAGUCGAACGGUAGAGGGGGCAACCCCUUGAGAGUGGCGAACGGGUGAGUAAUAUAUCGGAACGUGCCCAGUCGUGGGGAUAACGUAGCGAAAGUUACGCUAAUACCGCAUACGAUCUAAGGAUGAAAGCGGGGGAUCGCAAGACCUCGCGCGAUUGGAGCGGCCGAUAUCAGAUUAGGUAGUUGGUGAGGUAAAGGCUCACCAAGCCAACGAUCUGUAGCUGGUCUGAGAGGACGACCAGCCACACUGGAACUGAGACACGGUCCAGACUCCUACGGGAGGCAGCAGUGGGGAAUUUUGGACAAUGGACGCAAGUCUGAUCCAGCCAUUCCGCGUGCAGGAUGAAGGCC
Molecule: ribosomal RNA, 381 nt
Filed under: uncultured bacterium
Lineage: Bacteria
Description: bacterial SSU rRNA
Rfam family: Bacterial small subunit ribosomal RNA
Source: RNAcentral